AUAUUUCUCUCUUUAUAUUUUCCAGCUUCUCCUAUUACCACGAAUGCAAACAAUCUAACUCAGGAGAAUAUCCCAGAUUAUAAACUUCUGAUCUCCUGUACUGCUGCUGCUGCUGCUGUUGGAUUUAUUACAUCAGUUUUGAUCUUCUGGAUCUACAGUAAACACACAAAAACACAUCAACAGGAUCAGACAUGUGAAGAUGAGAUUGCAUAUGCUGAUCCGAAAUUCCGCAAACGAAACACACAGAAUGUCAAAGAUGAAAGUGAGGUGAUAUAUGCCACUGUCAACCCCAGAUCCUGAUC
Molecule: non-coding RNA, 302 nt
Organism: Paramisgurnus dabryanus
Lineage: Eukaryota; Metazoa; Chordata; Actinopteri; Cypriniformes; Cobitidae
Source: RefSeq, a predicted model, not a curated record